Molecule: long non-coding RNA, 1354 nt
Filed under: Anser cygnoides (Swan goose)
Lineage: Eukaryota; Metazoa; Chordata; Aves; Anseriformes; Anatidae
Description: lncRNA (ENSACDG00005018193.1)
Source: RNAcentral
CCACAAGAAGGACAUUGAGGCCCUGGAGCGUGUCCAGAGAAGGGCUACAAAGCUGGUGAAGGGCCUGGAACACAAGUCCUGUGAGGGGCGGCUGGGGGAACUGGGGGUGUUUGGUCUGGAGAAGAGAAGGCUCAGGGGAGGCCUUAUUGCUAUCUACAACUCCCUGAAAGGAAGGUGUGGGGAGCUGGGGGUCGGCCUCUUCUCACAGGUAACCAGUGACAGGACCAGAGAGAAUGGCCUCAAGUUGCGCCAGGGGAGGUUCAUGCUGGAAAUGAGGAGACAUUUCUUCUCAAAAAGAGCAGUCAGGCAUUGGGACGGGUUGCCCAGGGAGGUGGUGGAGUCACCGUCCCUGGGGGUGUUCAAGGGAAGGUAGGAUGUGGUGUUUGUGGACAUGGUUUAGUGGGUGACAUUGGUGUUAGGGGGACGGUUGGACCAGAUGAUCUUGGUGGUCUUUUCCAACCUCACUACCUCUAUGAUUCUGUGAUAAUCAGGGUGUUUUCGGGGCCACGUGGGUGCUUCUGCUCCCCCACGGUUGCAGAGGGAAACGAGGAGCGGUGCGGUCACACUCAGGACGUUCCCCCCGCCCUCUGCCCCUUGCAGGGUGAAGGAGCGGCACCACCGGGGCCGGCCCAACAGCAGCUCAGAGUCGUCGGCCAAGCACUCUCGGCACGGGGCCUCGGAGCGCAGGAAGAGCCCCUCGCACAGCACCGGGCACCGCAGCAGCUCCUGGAGCUCCAGCGGCUCCCUCUCCAAGUCCCGCUCCCGCUCGCGGGAGAAGAGGGCCGGGCGCAGCCGCAGCCGCUCGCCCUCGCAGAAGAAAACCGCCAGCAGAGAGAAGGACAACGAGCCCCGAACACGCCACGGUGACCCCGAUCCCGCCCGGGCCCGGCGCCGCUCCCGAAGCUACUCCCCCAUCAGGAAGAGGAGACGCGAUUCCCCCAGCUUCAUGGAGCCCAGGAGGAUCACCAGUGCUCGCAAGCGUCCCAUCCCCUACUACCGCCCCAGCCCCUCGUCCUCCAGCUCGCUGAGCACCUACUCGUACAGCCGCAGCCGGAGCCGCAGCUACGACAGCUACAGCACCAGCCGCAGCCGCAGCCGGACUCGCAGCCCCCCCAGCCGCUCGCGAAGCCCCAGCCGCAGCCCCAGCUACAACAGCCGCAGCAGCUCGGAGAGCGCCGGCUUCUGAGCCCCGCAGCCCCCCGCCCCAGCCCCGGGAGAACCCCCUCAGGAGGUGGAAAAAAACCUGGGGGGGGCUGCUAAGGAUGGACCCGGCAGCGGGGGGAAAGUCGGGGGGCGGAUGGAAACCUUGCGGGGCAGUGGGCGACCCUGAGCCCCCAGCAGUAUUUUGGGGGUC